Molecule: ribosomal RNA, 398 nt
Filed under: uncultured bacterium
Lineage: Bacteria
Description: bacterial SSU rRNA
Rfam family: Bacterial small subunit ribosomal RNA
Source: RNAcentral
AUAUUGCGCAAUGGGGGGAACCCUGACGCAGCAACGCCGCGUGAAGGAAGAAGGUUUUCGGAUCGUAAACUUCUUUAAGUGUGGAAGAUAAUGACGGUACACACAGAAUAAGCCACGGCUAACUACGUGCCAGCAGCCGCGGUAAUACGUAGGUGGCGAGCGUUGUCCGGAUUUACUGGGUGUAAAGGGCGUGUAGGCGGGCAUACAAGUCAGAUGUGAAAUACCGGGGCUCAACCCCGGGGCUGCAUUUGAAACUGUAUAUCUUGAGUGUCGGAGAGGAAAGCGGAAUUCCUAGUGUAGCGGUGAAAUGCGUAGAUAUUAGGAGGAACACCAGUGGCGAAGGCGGCUUUCUGGACGAUAACUGACGCUGAGGCGCGAAAGCGUGGGGAGCAAACAGG